This 253-nucleotide ribosomal RNA is filed under the name uncultured bacterium. RNAcentral's name for it is "partial 16S ribosomal RNA". It matches the Rfam family "Bacterial small subunit ribosomal RNA", at positions 524 to 776 of the family's 1533-position model. The record is from RNAcentral.
UACGUAGGGUGCAGGCGUUAAUCGGAAUUACUGGGCGUAAAGCGUGCGUAGGCGGUUUGCUAAGACAGGUGUGAAAUCCCCGGGCUUAACCUGGGAACUGCGCUUGUUACUGGCAAGCUGGAGUGUGGCAGAGGGGGGUGGAAUUCCGCGUGUAGCAGUGAAAUGCGUAGAGAUGUGGAGGAACACCGAUGGCGAAGGCAGCCCCCUGGGCUAACACUGACGCUCAUGCACGAAAGCGUGGGGAGCAAACAGG